Molecule: ribosomal RNA, 329 nt
Filed under: uncultured eukaryote
Lineage: Eukaryota
Description: partial 18S ribosomal RNA
Rfam family: Eukaryotic small subunit ribosomal RNA
Source: RNAcentral
CCCUUAGAUGUCCUGGGCCGCACGCGCGCUACACUGAGUGUCUGAGAUACGAGUCUGCCUGGUCCGGCAAGGUCUAGGUAAUCGCUAAAAGACACAUCAUGCUUGGGAUAGAUUAUUGCAAAUAUUAAUCUUGAACGAGGAAUUCCUAGUAAGCGCAAGUCAACUGCUUGCGUUGAUUACGUCCCUGCCCUUUGUACACACCGCCCGUCGCUACUACUGAUUGGAUGUUUAAGCGAGGUUCUCGAACUGCUAGCGACUUAGCUUCGGUGAGGUCGCAGUGUGGGAAGUGAACCUAGCUUUGGUGUCUAGAGGAAGUAAAAGUCGUAACA